RNAcentral lists this transfer RNA (72 nucleotides) under Cellulosimicrobium cellulans. RNAcentral's name for it is "tRNA-Gln". It matches the Rfam family "tRNA". From Rfam's summary of the family: Transfer RNA (tRNA) molecules are approximately 80 nucleotides in length. Their secondary structure includes four short double-helical elements and three loops (D, anti-codon, and T loops). Further hydrogen bonds mediate the characteristic L-shaped molecular structure. tRNAs have two regions of fundamental functional importance: the anti-codon, which is responsible for specific mRNA codon recognition, and the 3' end, to which the tRNAs corresponding amino acid is attached (by aminoacyl-tRNA synthetases). tRNAs cope with the degeneracy of the genetic code in two manners: having more than one tRNA (with a specific anti-codon) for a particular amino acid; and 'wobble' base-pairing, i.e. permitting non-standard base-pairing at the 3rd anti-codon position. The record is from RNAcentral. Lineage: Bacteria; Bacillati; Actinomycetota; Actinomycetes; Micrococcales; Promicromonosporaceae.
UCCCCUCUGGUGUAGUGGGAACACGCCGGCCUUUGGAGCCGUGAAGACCAGGUUCGAGCCCUGGGAGGGGAG